CAAAAAUUUACUUAAUAAGUGUGUUGGCUAAAUAAAAAAGAUAGAAACAUAGCAAAAAAAAUCUUAUAGAUUCUGUAGAUGGUUAUCAUGAAAGACAAGACAUACUCUCUCUAAAUGUGCAAAGCUGUGAGGUUAUUGAUAUGUAUAUACCGAGGGAAACACACCAACUAUAAGAGGAAAACAAGUGAACAACAAGAACACUUAAGUGCAACAAAAAUAAACACCAACAUACAUAGAAACAAACUAUUUGAUAACAACUGCUGUGUUCCUGGCUUGGUACAGGACAUUUUAAGAAAAAAUGGUGGGUUGAACCUGGUUUUUAUGGCUAGCCAAACCUCCAACAAAUGGCAAUGUUAAAAAAUAUCGCUUAAAUGAAAACACUAUGUGACGACAGAAAUACAACACAAACACAUGCCAGAACACUCAUCAUAGAGAAAUACAAGAAAAACAAAUAAUAUAAAAGUC
Molecule: long non-coding RNA, 465 nt
Filed under: Mytilus galloprovincialis (Mediterranean mussel)
Lineage: Eukaryota; Metazoa; Mollusca; Bivalvia; Mytilida; Mytilidae
Source: RNAcentral